RNAcentral lists this ribosomal RNA (472 nucleotides) under uncultured Anoxybacillus sp. RNAcentral's name for it is "bacterial SSU rRNA". It matches the Rfam family "Bacterial small subunit ribosomal RNA", at positions 916 to 1381 of the family's 1533-position model. Lineage: Bacteria; Bacillati; Bacillota; Bacilli; Caryophanales; Anoxybacillaceae. The record is from RNAcentral.
GACGGGGCCCGCACAAGCGGUGGAGUUAUGUGGAUUAAUCGAUGCAACGCGAAGAACCUUACCAGGCCUUGACAUGCUAGGGAACCCGGGUGAAAGCCUGGGGUGCCCCGCGAGGGAGCCCUAGCACAGGUGCUGCAUGGCCGUCGUCAGCUCGUGCCGUGAGGUGUUGGGUUAAGUCCCGCAACGAGCGCAACCCUCGACCUUAGUUGCCAGCAUUCAGUUGGGCACUCUAAGGUGACUGCCGGCUAAAAGUCGGAGGAAGGUGGGGAUGACGUCAAAUCAUCAUGCCCCUUAUGACCUGGGCUACACACGUGCUACAAUGGGCGGUACAAAGGGUCGCGAACCCGCGAGGGGGAGCCAAUCCCAAAAAGCCGCUCUCAGUUCGGAUUGCAGGCUGCAACUCGCCUGCAUGAAGCCGGAAUCGCUAGUAAUCGCGGAUCAGCAUGCCGCGGUGAAUACGUUCCCGGGCCUU